CAUCAUCUUUUGGAAUGCAGCUGGAGCAGACGCCAAGCCAUAAGGUACCCUGCAGAAUCUGAAGAGGCCCUCGUGUGUAAGAAAAGCAGUGAGGUCCCGGCAAUCUUCAUGAAGAGCUGUCUACUAUAACUGCCUUGUUGGGCCCUCGCAAGUCCACACACAUGCGGAUCCCCCCCGUUUUCUUUUGGACCACAACAAUCGGAGAAACCCAUGGAGAAGAAUCAAUCCGUUCGAUCACACCAGCCUGUAAGAGACGUUCCAGUUCUGCGGAAACAGCAUCUCUCACGGAGAAAGUUGUUCACACAGCCUAAUGCAGCACGCUGUGAUGGAGAAGUGGAGAGAGCACAGACUGGAGAGGAUUGUGCCGAUGGCAGCACAGUGUGUCCAGUAAAUUGCAGCUGAAGUCCCUUAAUCAGAUCCAUGCCUAGCAAAGCAGUGCCAGUGUCAACAAUGAAGAAGUGUGCAGGACAGGUAAUGCCAUAUUUAGUGACUGUAGCAGAUAAACAUCCUAGUACUGAAAUCGGCUCUUGUAAGUAAGUAACUAAACGGGCAGCAGGGGCUUGCAACGGCACAGUGCGAAAAUGCUGUUCAUACAGUUGUUUCGGCAGGAUGGACACAGACGAACCAGAGUCCACAGUAAGUUGAAGAGACACAGGGGUAGCAGCAGGUGAGGCAUGUACGGUCACUUCACACAUCAGACGGUCAGUCGCUCCAGGCAGAUGGAGAAUACAGACCUCUGGCAAUUCAACUGAAUGCACUGAAUGAGUAGGAGCAGAACGGCAGACUCGUGCAAAAUGUCCAAUCUUAUUGCAGUUCUUACAUUUAGCAGAUGCAGCGGGGCAGUUCUGUGCGUUUGCAAGAUGUCCAGCAGAGCCACAGCGAAAGCAUGUUCGAGCUGACGGAGCAGAAGCAGGUGGUUUUGAUGAGGUACGUGCUUUGAAUUUGGCCUUAGGACGCUGUCGUCCAGAAGCAGGAGUGGCAUGUACAGCUUGAACUGGAGCGAAGUUACUCGUAGCCAGCGAUUUCGCCUGAGCAUCAGCGGUCUCUAGCUGUGUGGCAAUUGUAAUUGCAGUCUCCAGUGUCAAUUUAGAUUCCACUAAUAAUCUUUCACGAAUGCGAGGGUUAGCAAUAUUUUCAACAAGUUGAUCACGCAACAUAUCGUCAAGAUUGUCAGCAAAUUCACAAGUAGUCGCUAAAUCUCUUAAUGCAGCAAUGUAUUGUACUACCGUUUCAUCUAUCCUCUGUAUGCGUUUCCUGAAAGCAUGUCUUUCCACGACCACAUUUCUUUUCGGAACGAAGUGUUGUUCCAAAGCCGUAAUAGCAUCAGCUAGAUCGUCACCGGUAUUGGGCAGUGUAUAAAACAAUCUCUGACCUUCGGUUCCGAGGCAGUGGAGAAGCAAAGCACGUUUUCUGGCUUCUGACCAUAAAUCCCCAGUAGCAUUGAUGACUAGCAUGUAGUUCCUGAACAUUUUCAGCCAUGUGACUAGCGGUAUAGCAGGCUCACCGGGAUAAGGCAAAAAAGGAUUGGGAAAUGGAGCACUUACUGAAGCCAUCCUCAGAAAAUCUUGUACAAAAAACGUCCUCGUCGCCAAUUUGUUAUGUCUUAAUGUAGACAAGACGCUGGAGACCGUAGAUUCCUUUCAGUAACAUUUAUUAACAAAAUAACACAUACAGGAUAACAUGCAGGCACAUGCUCCGUACUCUAACUUCUUCUCUACCUCUCGAUGCAACUCGAGUAGAUCGAGUGCCACCUAGCGGUACAUUGAUGCAACAACAUCACAAUGUGACCUAGAAAUGCUGUCAUCUUUAUUGUCACACAAGCUGGAACGAUGACAUUGGAAGUCUAUUUUGUGUUGUUUACCCUCACGCUGCAGCUUUUAACUUUUUAAAAAUAUCUUUAUUUUAGGUAUUUUAUAUGGUCUAAACCAACUAAACUAAAUUAAACCAAAAUAAA
Molecule: long non-coding RNA, 1954 nt
Organism: Triplophysa rosa
Lineage: Eukaryota; Metazoa; Chordata; Actinopteri; Cypriniformes; Nemacheilidae
Exons: 3
Source: RefSeq, a predicted model, not a curated record